CGACGCGCAUGAAUGGAUUAAUGAGAUUCCCACUGUCCCUAAUUACUAUCUAGCGAAACCACAGCCAAGGGAACGGGCUUGGCAAAAUUAGCGGGGAAAGAAGACCCUGUUGAGCUUGACUUUAUUCAGAAUUUUGUGAAAUGGUGCUCGAGGUAUAGAAUAGGUGGGAGUGUAACGAAAUUGAAAUACCACUACUUUUGACGUUGUUUUACUUAUUAAAUAAAAACUAAAAGAUUAAUAAUCUUGAUUCUAGAAUUAACGAAUAUUACAUGUUGACUCCAUGUGGGUUAACCUCUGAUUUGGGAAGUUUGUUUAAGACAUUUUCUGGUGGGGAGUUUGGCUGGGGCGGCACAUCUGUUAAAAGAUAACACAGGUGUCCAAAGUAUAACUCAAUGAGAACGGAAAUCUCAUGUAGAAUAAAAGGGUAAAAGUUAUAUUGAUUUUGAUUUUCAGUAAGAAUACAAACCGUGAAAGCGUGGC
RNAcentral lists this ribosomal RNA (480 nucleotides) under uncultured eukaryote. RNAcentral's name for it is "eukaryotic LSU rRNA". It matches the Rfam family "Eukaryotic large subunit ribosomal RNA", at positions 2307 to 2764 of the family's 3401-position model. The record is from RNAcentral.